UGGUGGAGUGAUUUGUCUGGUUAAUUCCGAUAACGAACGAGACCCCGUCCUACUUACUAGACUUGAGAUGAUUUUCAUCUCUUGAAUCUUCUUAGAGGGACAACUGCGUAAAUCUAGCUACAUGAAAUGGGGCAAUAACA
RNAcentral lists this ribosomal RNA (140 nucleotides) under uncultured eukaryote. Its description in RNAcentral is "partial 18S ribosomal RNA". It matches the Rfam family "Eukaryotic small subunit ribosomal RNA", at positions 1299 to 1458 of the family's 1831-position model. The record is from RNAcentral.